This 429-nucleotide ribosomal RNA is filed under the name Chloroflexota bacterium. RNAcentral's name for it is "Chloroflexi bacterium partial 16S ribosomal RNA". It matches the Rfam family "Bacterial small subunit ribosomal RNA", at positions 355 to 776 of the family's 1533-position model. Lineage: Bacteria; Bacillati; Chloroflexota. The record is from RNAcentral.
UGGGGAAUAUUGCACAAUGGGCGCAAGCCUGAUGCAGCCAUGCCGCGUGUGUGAAGAAGGCCUUCGGGUUGUAAAGCACUUUCAGCGGGGAGGAAGGCGGUGAGGUUAAUAACCUUGGCAAUUGACGUUACCGACAGAAGAAGCACCGGCUAACUCCGUGCCAGCAGCCGCGGUAAUACGGAGGGUGCAAGCGUUAAUCGGAAUUACUGGGCGUAAAGCGCACGCAGGCGGUUGAUUGAGUCAGAUGUGAAAUCCCCGGGCUUAACCCGGGAAUUGCAUCUGAUACUGGUCAGCUAGAGUCUUGUAGAGGGGGGUAGAAUUCCAUGUGUAGCGGUGAAAUGCGUAGAGAUGUGGAGGAAUACCGGUGGCGAAGGCGGCCCCCUGGACAAAGACUGACGCUCAGGUGCGAAAGCGUGGGGAGCAAACAGG